GCUAAAUUCUGCAUCCCUCAAACAGCCUUAUAUCACUCAGAAUUAUUUUCCAGUCGGUACUGUUGUGGAAUAUGAGUGCCGUCCAGGUUACAGAAGAGAACCUUCUCUAUCACCAAAACUAACUUGCCUUCAGAAUUUAAAAUGGUCCACAGCAGUCGAAUUUUGUAAAAAGAAAUCAUGCCCUAAUCCGGGAGAAAUACGAAAUGGUCAGAUUGAUGUACCAGGUGGCAUAUUAUUUGGUGCAACCAUCUCCUUCUCAUGUAACACAGGGUACAAAUUAUUUGGCUCGACUUCUAGUUUUUGUCUUAUUUCAGGCAGCUCUGUCCAGUGGAGUGACCCGUUGCCAGAGUGCAGAGAAAUUUAUUGUCCAGCACCACCACAAAUUGACAAUGGAAUAAUUCAAGGGGAACGUGACCAUUAUGGAUAUAGACAGUCUGUAACGUAUGCAUGUAAUAAAGGAUUCACCAUGAUUGGAGAGCACUCUAUUUAUUGUACUGUGAAUAAUGAUGAAGGAGAGUGGAGUGGCCCACCACCUGAAUGCAGAGGAAAAUCUCUAACUUCCAAGGUCCCACCAACAGUUCAGAAACCUACCACAGUAAAUGUUCCAACUACAGAAGUCUCACCAACUUCUCAGAAAACCACCACAAAAACCACCACACCAAAUGCUCAAGCAACACGGAGUACACCUGUUUCCAGGACAACCAAGCAUUUUCAUGAAACAACCCCAAAUAAAGGAAGUGGAACCACUUCAGGUACUACCCGUCUUCUAUCUGGUUCUCGUCCUGUCACCCAGGCUGGUAUGCGGUGGUGUGAUCGUAGCUCACUGCAGUCUCGAACUCCUGGGUUCAAGCGAUCCUUCCACUUCAGCCUCCCAAGUAGCUGGUACUACAGGUGUGUGCCACGACACCCGGCUAAGUUUUUGAAAUUUAUUUUUUGUAGAGACAGGAUUUUCCUAUGUUGCCCAGGCUGGUUUCAAACUCCUGGCCGUAAGCGAUUUUUCCGGCCUCCCAAAACGUUGCGAUUAUAAGUGUGAGCCACUGCACCUGGCCCCACAUUUUCUUUAUCCAUUUGUACAUUGAUGGACACUUAAGAUGAUUCCAUAUCUUUGCUAUUGUGAAUAGUGCUUCAAUAAAUAUGUGAAUGCACAUAUCUUUUUGAU
Molecule: long non-coding RNA, 1159 nt
Filed under: Homo sapiens (human)
Lineage: Eukaryota; Metazoa; Chordata; Mammalia; Primates; Hominidae
Description: long non-coding RNA NONHSAT150389.1
Source: RNAcentral